Molecule: ribosomal RNA, 336 nt
Filed under: Nitrososphaerota archaeon
Lineage: Archaea; Thermoproteati; Nitrososphaerota
Description: bacterial SSU rRNA
Rfam family: Archaeal small subunit ribosomal RNA
Source: RNAcentral
AUUCCGGUUGAUCCUGCCGGACCCGACUGCUAUCGGCAUGGGAUUAAGCCAUGUUAGUCGUGCGUCCUCCGGCUGUGGAGGGCGCGGCGUACGGCUCAGUAGCACGUAGUCAACCUACCUUGGAGACGCGGACAAUCCCGGGAAACUGGGGCUAAUCCGUGAUAGGUUCGGAGUCCUGGAAUGGCUUCGAGCUCAAAGGGUUGGAGGAGCAUGCUUCUUUUAUUGCUCCAAGAUGGGACUGCGGCCGAUCAGGUUGUUGGCGGGGUAAUGGCCCACCAAGCCUAUAACCGGUGCGGGCUCUGACAGGAGGAGCCCGGAGAUGGACACUGAGAUAAG